This is a non-coding RNA of Cherax quadricarinatus, 211 nucleotides long. NCBI's taxonomy places the organism in Eukaryota, Metazoa, Arthropoda, Malacostraca, Decapoda, Parastacidae. The record is from RefSeq and is a predicted model, not a curated record.
CUUCCCCACUUCCCCCACACCCCAACCUUGCACACCCAAGGUCUGCCUCAACAACCAGUGAGUAUCCUUUCCGUCUCUCCCAGGUCCGCGUGUCCAGGAGUCCAUCUGUCCGCCUUCAGAUAUUCUCCCUUCCCCACUUCCCCAAGGUAUCCUCGCCUUUCCCAGGUCCAUGUGUCCAGGAAUCCAUCCGUGGGCCCCCGGAUGUCUCCCC